Molecule: long non-coding RNA, 3630 nt
Organism: Rhododendron vialii
Lineage: Eukaryota; Viridiplantae; Streptophyta; Magnoliopsida; Ericales; Ericaceae
Exons: 2
Source: RefSeq, a predicted model, not a curated record
AAAAUCAAGUUAACGAAAUAGAAUAUUACUGUGAAUGAAAGAUAUGUGCUUUGGAACUAAUGUGAGGGGUCUCAUCGAAUUUAUUUUUUUUAACCUUGCAUACACUUUUCACUGCGAAAGAAACCCACAGAAACAAAAGCACAUGGGCAAAUCCCAUGAUGCAAUAAAGCAGCCAAAUAACCAACGUCCAUACACCAAACAGAAAACCAGAUUGCACCUGCAGUGGUUUCAAUACACAAGAAACUACAUGACUUACUAUAAAAGUAUGCAAGACAUGCAACAUCUCAGGCCUCAUAGCCUUUUGCUUUUGUCGGAAUACAAUAAACUUACCAGUAAAAAAUACAACUAUCUAUAAGAUUGCGGAUAAACGAAAAACUCUCUAUAACAUCCACAAAAGGUGUUUAGCCAACAUAAAAAAUCAGUAUAAAGUAAUGUAGUAUAACCUGACGAGAUGGAUUGACACGGUGGGAAAAGCGAGCUUUGGUGAAUGAUGAAAUCUUAAAUUCUGGUAUUUGUGGCGAUUAAUGCUCUGAAAUUUUGGACCCAAAAUAGUUCCCAAGUAGAUCCAUGGUGAACUGGAAAAUAGAAUAAAAACAAUUUUUACAAAUUAGUUACCAGAUAUGAUUCAAAAUUAGGGAAAAAUAGACAUGAAGUAAAAAAUCCAAGAAGUAAACCUAUUGGUCAGCGAGAUUGCCAACAAUCACGAUCGCCAUUCUUUCCAAGUGAUACCAUUUUUUGUAGAAGUCAUUGCCUUGGCGAGACUGCAAGAGAACAAAGGAAGAUAUUGUUGAAGAUGUGGUGGUUGACACGUCAAAAUCUAUUGGUAAAACACCAAAAGCUGCUUUAGUUUCUGCACUUCUGAAAAUAAGAUGGAGCACGUUGUGUAAGUGCGCAUUCUAUUCAAAAGUAAAAUUGGUUUUUCCAAGAAUGUGAUCACUGUAUAUGACUAAAAGUGAAUGUGGCGUAAAAAACAAUGUAAUUUGUGCUGUUACAUGGACUGAUGCCCAAUGGUAGAGCUGGAGAGAUGUUUUUCUAGUAAAACUUGAAGCGUAGCAUUGGCAGGGCACUAUUCUCCGGGCCCGUUUGUUUGACAUGAUAUGAGCAUCCAAUUGGACUGCCUAUGUAUCCAAGGGAACCACGUCUCCAAUAUUUGCUUAACCUUUUUACGGUCCAAGUUAAAUGUCCAUUUGGUUUAUAAGUUAUAACCAAGAAAGUAUGGAAUAUACACUACCGUGUGGUGUGGUAUUAUUAAUUGACUCUCUACUACUCCUAAGGGAUUACACCAUACAUAUGAGAUUAUCAAUUGCGUCACUCUUAGUCCCAUCAAACAAAGGGACCCGGCGUGUGGAUGACAUUUUCAAAACUAUUAUUUGUUUGCCCUUACGUAACUGUAGACGCUUGCAGAUUAUUCUAAUAAUAUCUAUUCUAGUGUAGCUAUGUGCUUCCAAAUUAACAUCCUCUUAUAGAAAAGGUAUGUAGCUUCACCCAUCUUCUGCAUUUGUAUCUUUUUAUCAAUCCUGAGUUCCCUUGCUAUUGGCGGUAUUGCAGCAAGACAGUGAAGGACCUGAUUGCAAGUAUCUAUACCUACUUGCUCUAUGGACAACAGGUGAAAUCUCUAAUGAGAAGUAUGAAUUUCAUACCCAAAAAAUCCUUUACAUUCUAGUGAAUCAACUAAAUGUAAGUUGACCAAUAAUGAGAACUUGUAAGUUGUACCAUAUCCAUAUGAAUGCUCGAUAUGAUCUAGAAUAUCGUCAGUACAACAAUGAUAAUCAUUGCAAUUCGUAAACUUUGGAACUAGUGUUUUUGGAAUCAACAAGGGGAAAGAUGAAGUGUAGCCUAAAUGUGUUUCUAAUAUUUUGAGAUAUUACACUUUGAUUUCUUGUACCAACUUUACAAAUUUAUUGAUGGAAUUUCUCCCAAUAGUUAAAGGUGCAGAUACAUUUGAAUGCAAGUCUUGCAAAGUAGAACUCGACAGUGUAUCCUCUUUGUACAAAAAAACUGACGAGCAAGAUAGAGAAAUGGUCUCUGGAACCCUGCUGGUUUUUGCUGAUGAUGAAUCAAGUAGAAACCCAAUUAAUGUUCCCUGGGAAUCGAUUCGGUAUCUCACGAAAAAGACUUUAUACUGUGGAACCUCCUGGAGAAAUAUAUUGGGAAGUAGAAACGACUGUGCAUAAACUCAAAUUAAUCUGCUCAGUAUUUUGUAUACAUGUCUAAUACACAUUUAUUUUUCUCUUCUUUGGUUGGUAAACCAGGUGUAUCAACUGAGAAAAUGCACAAUGUUUUGGGGGAGCUAUUGAAGUACAGUCAUUCCAGUUCCACGACCUCCAAAAUAUUGCAGCAACUGGAGCCCACACCUGCUUGUUUCCUUCUGUUCCGUUCCUUCUCUUUAGACUAUAGAUGUUCCACAAAUCGUUCUUGCGUACUAGAUUCAGUUGGAGAAGAGAUGCUACACUUGUUCUGUCCCAGGUUAUUAAGAUAAAGGUCCCCCACACAGUGGUAACAAAUCCUUAACCUUGUUGCCUGUGUAAAGCCACAGCUUUUCAGGUUAACAACUGCUCAAUAUGCCACUGAACCUGGGCAGCUGAUUGUCUUGGUGGCCGAUUUGGCACUGGGGGAACUAUAUCUCUCUGCCGUUGCUACUCCCCCAGCAUGGUUCUACUGGCUAUUCUACUGCGAAUUAGCUGGGACUCUUUCUAUCACCAGAAAGAAGACAGUUGUAAGGGUGUUAAAGAGCUACAACGAGCUGCUUCUAAAUCUUGGAUGGCUUUCAAGGCAUCCAUGCUCACUGGUGUCCGAUCUGAACUGGCGGUCUUAUCUCCACCUCCUUGACUUGAAGAAUCAUGCUGCUCUUGAUUCCCAGUGUCCAUGUUGACUGGUGAGAUCCACAGACCACUCACCAAUGAAGGACCGUUUCAACUCGGAGUGGAAUAUUCUUCAUGAUUAAGAAUCGGUGGAGAAUGGAUUUAUCUGGGGGGUGAAGGAGAAGGCAAACAUUACGGAAUAGAAAUUUGCUAAUCUCUGAAGUCUCUCCAUGGGUGCUCUCUCACUCCAGAAAUCAGUGGUGAUAUAUAAAAGGAAUGUCUCUUAUUUAGUGGCAACCUGGGUCAGUACUCAUGCAAUUGGCGGACUCAUAAAACCUCGGAAAUGUGUCCCUUUCGAAUUGUUAGGUCGCAUGGUUCCCGAGUCUCGCGACAUCCUCGAUGAUCUCGCAAGCGCAAUUCUAACCGCCACGAUGAUAUCCUUGUUCCACAAUCAAGCCUCGUAGGGCCCCUCAAGUCCUGGCAUAUGGCUGGAGCAGACAUCCGAGUGCAUGGGUAAUAAGCAUGCCCAAUUGGCCAUUUCGGGCUGGAUCAGUCCGAAUGCUCCGGGGGGGGGCAUACUCUGCUCCGGAGGACAUACUCUUUCUCUUUGGGCCUAAGUAUAGAAAUUUGCUGCCUCUCUUGGUGAUGCUCGUAUGCACAACUCUUUUUCUUUCAAUCAACACGAAUAUUGCAUCAGAUUACUAGAUAAAACAUGAUAAGUACACAUUCGUUAACUGUUUGUAAAUAAAUAUAUCACGAGCGAAAAUAUUCAAAUGCGUAUAUACACCUCUGGUCUUUUUCAAUGUUAAUUUAUUCUUGUUAGCAGUCA